ACAGCAGCCGCCGCGGGAAUACAGAGGGUGCGAGCGUUAAUCGGAUUUACUGGGCGUAAAGCGUGCGUAGGCGGCUUCUUAAGUCGGAUGUGAAAUCCCUGAGCUUAACUUAGGAUUUGCAUUCGAUACUGGGAAGCUAGAGUAUGGGAGAGGAUGGUAGAAUUCCAGGUGUAGCGGUGAAAUGCGUAGAGAUCUGGAGGAAUACCGAUGGCGAAGGCAGCCAUCUGGCCUAACACUGACGCUGAGGUACGAAAGCAUGGGGAGCAAACAGGAUUAGAUACCCGUGUAGUCCCUGUCUCUUAUAC
This 305-nucleotide ribosomal RNA is filed under the name uncultured bacterium. Its description in RNAcentral is "partial 16S ribosomal RNA". It matches the Rfam family "Bacterial small subunit ribosomal RNA", at positions 508 to 807 of the family's 1533-position model. The record is from RNAcentral.